This is a non-coding RNA of Crocodylus porosus (Australian saltwater crocodile), 79 nucleotides long. NCBI's taxonomy places the organism in Eukaryota, Metazoa, Chordata, Crocodylia, Crocodylidae. The record is from Ensembl.
AGAGGUUUCAAGUUUAAGGCUGUAGCAGAAGUGUUCUUGGCAUGGCCUGUCAGAUUCUAUUGAAUCUGCAAUUUCUGCU